AAAUCAGGUAGGAGUACCCGCUGAACUUAAGCAUAUCAAUAAGCGGAGGAAAAGAAACCAACCGGAUUGCCUUAGUAACGGCGAGUGAAGCGGCAAAAGCUCAAAUUUGAAAUCUGGUACCUUCGGUGCCCGAGUUGUAAUUUGGAGAGGGCAACUUUGGGGCCGUUCCUUGUCUAUGUUCCUUGGAACAGGACGUCAUAGAGGGUGAGCAUCCCGUGUGGCGAGGAGUGCGGUUCUAUGUAAAGUGCCUUCGAAGAGUCGAGUUGUUUGGGAAUGCAGCUCUAAGUGGGUGGUAAAUUCCAUCUAAAGCUAAAUAUUGGCGAGAGACCGAUAGCGAACAAGUACAGUGAUGGAAAGAUGAAAAGAACUUUGAAAAGAGAGUGAAAAAGUACGUGAAAUUGUUGAAAGGGAAGGGCAUUUGAUCAGACAUGGUGUUUUGUGCCCUCUGCUCCUUGUGGGUAGGGGAAUCUCGCAUUUCACUGGGCCAGCAUCAGUUUUGGUGGCAGGAUAAAUCCGUAGGAAUGUAACUUGCUUCGGGAAGUAUUAUAGCCUGCGGGAAUACUGCCAG
RNAcentral lists this ribosomal RNA (568 nucleotides) under Saccharomyces paradoxus. RNAcentral's name for it is "eukaryotic LSU rRNA". It matches the Rfam family "Eukaryotic large subunit ribosomal RNA", at positions 8 to 580 of the family's 3401-position model. The record is from RNAcentral. Lineage: Eukaryota; Fungi; Ascomycota; Saccharomycetes; Saccharomycetales; Saccharomycetaceae.